UACGUAGGGGGCGAGCGUUGUCCGGAAUCAUUGGGCGUAAAGCGCGUGUAGGCGGCCCGGUAAGUCCGCUGUGAAAGUCCAGGGCUCAACCCUGGGAUGCCGGUGGAUACUGUCGGGCUCGAGUCCGGAAGAGGAGAGUGGAAUUCCUGGUGUAGCGGUGAAAUGCGCAGAUAUCAGGAGGAACACCAAUGGCGAAGGCAGCUCGCUGGGACGUGACUGACGCUGAGACGCGAAAGCGUGGGGAGCAAACAGG
This 253-nucleotide ribosomal RNA is filed under the name uncultured bacterium. Its description in RNAcentral is "partial 16S ribosomal RNA". It matches the Rfam family "Bacterial small subunit ribosomal RNA", at positions 524 to 776 of the family's 1533-position model. The record is from RNAcentral.